This 253-nucleotide ribosomal RNA is filed under the name uncultured bacterium. RNAcentral describes it as "partial 16S ribosomal RNA". It matches the Rfam family "Bacterial small subunit ribosomal RNA", at positions 524 to 776 of the family's 1533-position model. The record is from RNAcentral.
UACGUAGGGGGCAAGCGUUGUCCGGAAUCAUUGGGCGUAAAGAGCGUGUAGGCGGCCUGGUAAGUCCGCUGUGAAAGUCCAGGGCUCAACCCUGGAAUGCCGGUGGAAACUGUCAGGCUCGAGUCCGGAAGAGGCGAGUGGAAUUCCUGGUGUAGCGGUGAGAUGCGCAGAUAUCAGGAGGAACACCAAUGGCGAAGGCAGCUCGCUGGGACGGUACUGACGCUGAGACGCGAAAGCGUGGGGAGCAAACAGG